GGUAGAGUGGCCGAGUGUUGAUGGCGGUAGCCUGUAAAUCUACUUACAGAGGUUUAAAUCCUCUCUCUGUCA
RNAcentral lists this transfer RNA (72 nucleotides) under Gavialis gangeticus (Gharial). RNAcentral's name for it is "Tyr-tRNA". It matches the Rfam family "tRNA". From Rfam's summary of the family: Transfer RNA (tRNA) molecules are approximately 80 nucleotides in length. The record is from RNAcentral. Lineage: Eukaryota; Metazoa; Chordata; Crocodylia; Gavialidae.